ACACUAAUUAACUCUACAAUGUUACGUUCGCGGGCGAGAACGAAUAAAAAUGUAUGUCUGCAUCUUUAUCAUCUUUACGUUCGUUGCCUUCCUUGAACAGACACAGCGAAACGCGCUGGCCAAGGAGGCUUUCUCGUAUUUGGAAUAUCCUUCUUCUAAGUCUUAUGAACUUUGCGACGACAAUAAAUCCAACAAUAUCAAUUUACUCUUCUUGAACAACAACAACAAAUUACUAUUUCUAAACUUUUCUCUGAUCCUUUU
Paramuricea clavata is the source of this 261-nucleotide non-coding RNA. The record is from the annotation of a GenBank genome assembly. Lineage: Eukaryota; Metazoa; Cnidaria; Anthozoa; Malacalcyonacea; Plexauridae.